AUCAUUAAAAAUAAAAGCCUAAUUAUUAAAUCUGCUUCAGCUUCAUUAACAAUUGCGCAAAACUUAAAACAUGUUAAAAAAACAACUUCAUAUUAAAAUCCAAAUGAAUCCAGAUAAUGUUCAAUGUUAUACGUGCAAAUAAAACAAUAAAUCCAUUACAGCUAGACCAAAAAAAAAAAAAAAAAUGUCUGGAAUGGAAAGUUAAUCAGGAUUACAGCAGCACUUGUGACUUCUUGGUUUACCCGGAUUUUAGCUUUUUGGCAUCCUUUAAAUAAAAAAACCAUAAUCAGAUUUUCAUUCUCUAAACAGUCACAUUUAACAUUCCUGGGUUUUAUUCUCGUAUCUCUUUAUUCCAGCACUGAAUUCAAAGGCAAACCAUGAAGGUGUUGACAUCAGGUGGAAGCAAAACUGGUCAAUUUCUGUCUUAUAAAAAUCUGAAAAGUGGAAUUUACUGCAAGAAGAAGAAGCAUGAGUAGAACGUCUGUCACAUUAUAACAAUUUACACUGCAAUCGGUAAGAAAAACACCCACAAGUUAUGUUUCUCAUAAAACAUUACUGUACAUCAACCACAUUUAUAAAAAGGAACAGAGUUCACAAUAAAAUGCAAACCUUAACUUCUGACAAGAAACACCCCGACAGUUCAAUUCAAAACCUGAGAGUUCAUGUGGUACCACUAAAACAGAGAAGAACAAACAAAAAAAACAGUAUAUACAUUUGAUAAAACGCUAUAUUCUUGAGACGGAGGUACACAGAAAAUACAGUGGUGACAUGAAUUGCAUUCGACCCACAAAAACGCCUUCAGUCUUACCAAAUCAAGCAAACGCCAAAACUAAAACAUGAUGAUAAACCUUCAGAUCCUGUUUAAAACAGGAACAGGGAACAAGGAGUGCAUUGUAUAGGGAAAAUAUAUAUAUAGAUAUAUAUGGCAAAACUGUGAAAUACAGAUCUUUCAUAGCUUAUAGUGUGUUUUAUAUUAUUUCACAACGUUCCUGUGUCCUCAUCAUCAACAGGCACGAUCAGGAAAACGACUGAAGUAUGGAGGAAUCCCUGCUAACAUUUUAAUAAGAAAACGCACAACAUUUAUUAAAGUAAAAUUUCAUGCUUCCAUAUUUUGUCGUUGUCUGUAUAUCGAUUAAUGAAAGUCAUGCCGUUGAUUCAGUUACACAGAAUGCGAACCAUAGUAAUCUGCCUUACUGUGUGCUAUUAAUGACAUACCAAAACAUAAUCAAGCAAGAUAUGGAUAUGAAAACACAAAACCAAAUGAUUGGCUUAGAAUAUUCAACGCUCAUCAGAUUGGACUGUCUAUUAGCCACCAAAAUGAGCACGAUAGAGUUAGGCCAAAGAAAAAAUAAAGACAUCUUACAACUAAUAAACAUGGACAUGCUCUUUUUGAAGAUUUCAAACAGACAAAUAACAAAUGUGAACCCAGAGGAACAUUGUUACGCCAUAUUUAAAGAGAUAGUUCAGCUAAAAAUGAAGAUAUUUUAAAAAAUUGUUACACUUUAAAUAUCAAAACCCAAGUGAUGUACACUUUAAAACAAACAAAAAAAAAGUCCAUUAAUAGGUUCUCUAUUGAUGUGUUCAAUUUAUUUAUGGUUAUGAAUUGCAUUAUUAAAUUUAUCGAUCUCUGCUGUCGAGUUUUGAUGUUAAAAAUUUAAGUCUAGGAUUCAACAAAGGGAUUUUAGUAUAUUGAAAUAAAAUACUGUAUUAGACAUAAUAUAUAAACAUAUAUUUAGACAGAUAUAUGUAUAAUAGAAAAAAAUAGAGAUGGAAAUAAGUCUGUAAAAUAACAGAAUUCUGGCAGUUUAUCACCAGGUUUUUCUACUGUAGUUUAUAACAGCAAUCCAGACAAUAUGUAACUUCAAACUAGGGCUGCACAAUAUAUCAUUUCAUCAUUGAUAUCUCAUUGUGAUCAUACGCAAGUCACAUCGUGAGCAUCACAAUGUUGAGUCUGGAUUAUAAUUCAGCAUUUGCAUGUGUUUUAGAUGCCUGUGAUUGUAUAGCAUUCAGGCAUAAUAAAUUGUGUCAUUUGUGACUUUAAUAGCGAUUAAUUUUAUUGAAUUAUUUUAUCUGUACUUGAAUACUGUUAGAAAUACUUUGUCAAUUGUAUCUCUUUCUUGAUUGUAUUUAUAGAUUGCUAUGCAUGAAGAUCCUCACAACACAUGCAAAUACAGAAAUGCAAUGCAAAUGGCAGACCACAUCGAAAAUGUGUCAGGAAACCCCAAAAAGUUUAUAGAUUGUUUAUUAGAUUUUAUGGAGAGGCACUCACACUGCCAAAUCAUCCUAAUCGAUCCAACAAAUUCUUUCCAAAUAGAGAUACUCAAGUUAUCUGGUAAUAUUUUAUUCAUAUCGCGAUAUAUAUUACUGUUGUCACGAUACUAAAAUUCGUUACCAAUCGGUACAGCAAUUUAAAAAGCGUCCAUUUCCCGCUAACAUUUGAGCACGUUCUUAAACACCACUGAUUGCCGUUGUGUUCACGCACUUAACAGUAAUGACUAUGAUUGGCCACGAAGGUCAUCAGUUCACCAAACUCACCUAUGUUUACUGAGUUUAACCACAGAUACAGGAACACUGGGGUGUUUUAAAGUCACAUCAAUCAGCUGGCUUUGUCUAUGAGUGCUUAUGAAUCGCGGCUUUAAAACACUACAGUCACCCUGUAUCUGUGGUUUCACUCAGUAAACAGCGGUGAGUUUGGUGAACUGAUGACCUUCAUGGGCAAUCACAGCAAUUUUUGUUGAGCUGAAAUGUUCAUGUGAAAUGGAAGUUUUUGAAAUGUCAGUACCGACUGGUACCACAUUACAAUAUCGUGGCAACCCUAAUAUAUCACAAAAUAAAAAAUAUUGCAACGCUAGAUUUGUCCAAUAUUGUGCAGUCCUACUUUAAACUAUUAAAAACUUUUCAACAUCACAAGUUGUUGAAGGAACAAUCAAGCUACCAUAAUGCUAUUCAAAAGCAUAAACAAACUGAAGAAAAAACAAAAAUUCACAAAAACACGUAAAUCGGGGGGGUUAUCUUUUGUCAUGUGCAUAAAAUAUUAAAAAGUGUUGAUUAAACAAUGACAAUGAUCAAUUUCUGGUGAACUACCCCUUUAAAUCAUAGGUACAAAAUGUUUUACUGUCGUGUUAUUCUGCGUUAAUCAAAAAAUACAUGAAAAAAAUAAAUCACUGACAAAACACACCAGUUCCACUAAAGACUGGUGGAAACAUGUUUCAUCAGAUUACAUUUCUGUCCAUCAAAGGGUCUGAGAGGCCAUUUACAAGUCAGUUACAUUAUAAAAUGCCAAAAAUAGACACAUAUGAGAUAGCAUUUGGGUUUGUGUUUAGAAAACAAGAACAGAAAUAAAAGGGUGAAACCAGUUUAACAAACAUGAAUGGUCAGCAUGCUCCCUAAUGGCUCUACAAGUGUCAAGUUGAGGGUUUAAAUGCAGGCAUAUAACAAACAUGAACCUAAAAGACCAUUUCAGACAUUAUAUUUAAGACGAUAUUUCAUCCAAAACAGAUUUCUGAAGAAUGCUGGGAUCCAAUAACCAUCAAAGCCUAAUGAUUAAAACGUUUUAGCUAACUAAAUGAUGACAAUAUUAAUUUUCGGAUGAAGUAUCCCUAUAAAACAAAGGUCUCACAUUCGAUGGCAGGAGAGCUGCAGCUCAGCAGUUAUGCUUCAGCCCUGAUCAAACACUUAAUCCAACUAAUCAAGGUGUCCAUGACUCUUUUGAACACCUCGAUUAUUUGGAUCAGCUGUGUUUGAUUAGUGUUGGAGCAAAACUGGAGCUGUGGCCCUCCAGGCAUCAAGUUUAAGACCUAUGCUAUAGAAUAUAGGUACGCUGAACUAAAGUAUCAAGUUCAAUAUGAAUCAUUCAUAAAUACAGAAAGAAUGAAUGUGAUUUGUAAAUAAACCAAUAUUCGUCACACUUCUUGUACUUUCAAUCAUUUCUGUCCAUCACAGAUUCAUUUAAGUCUGAGGGCCAUUUAUAGGUCAGUUACAUUAGGAUAAAACUGUCUAUACAUGAAAAAAACUGAACUGAAAUAAAUAAAAGGAUGUAGAGAGUACAACAUACUGCUGUGUAUAGUGUAUUAUAAAUGAGUGUGAUAUUCUACAACCAUUUAAAACAAUGACUGCAUCUGCCUCGGAGGCUAGAACUGUAAGUCUAGUGAACAUACCUUCCAAAAAACGACUUGCUUAAUUUUUUUUUUUUUUUAGGUUUUUUUCUUUUAAAUAGUCGUCAAUUUUCACCAUUAAUAGAAGUUGAAAGCAAAAA
Non-coding RNA from Danio rerio (zebrafish), 4255 nucleotides. NCBI's taxonomy places the organism in Eukaryota, Metazoa, Chordata, Actinopteri, Cypriniformes, Danionidae. The record is from RefSeq and is a predicted model, not a curated record.